Molecule: ribosomal RNA, 853 nt
Filed under: Periconia byssoides
Lineage: Eukaryota; Fungi; Ascomycota; Dothideomycetes; Pleosporales; Periconiaceae
Description: partial large subunit ribosomal RNA
Rfam family: Eukaryotic large subunit ribosomal RNA
Source: RNAcentral
GGGAUUGCCCUAGUAACGGCGAGUGAAGCGGCAACAGCUCAAAUUUGAAAUCUGGCUCUUUCAGGGUCCGAGUUGUAAUUUGCAGAGGGUGCUUUGGUGUUGGCGGCGGUCUAAGUUCCUUGGAACAGGACAUCGCAGAGGGUGAGAAUCCCGUAUGUGGUCGCCUGCCUUCGCCGUGUAAAGCCCCUUCGACGAGUCGAGUUGUUUGGGAAUGCAGCUCUAAAUGGGAGGUAAAUUUCUUCUAAAGCUAAAUACCGGCCAGAGACCGAUAGCGCACAAGUAGAGUGAUCGAAAGAUGAAAAGCACUUUGGAAAGAGAGUCAAACAGCACGUGAAAUUGUUAAAAGGGAAGCGCUUGCAGCCAGACUUGCCUGUAGUUGCUCGCCUGGGCUUUUGCCCGGGUUACUCUUCUGCAGGCAGGCCAGCAUCAGUUUGGGCGGUCGGAUAAAGGUCCCUUUCACGUAUCUCCCUUCGGGGUUAACAUAUAGGGGGGACGUAAUGCGACCAGCCUGGACUGAGGUCCGCGCAUCUGCUAGGAUGCUGGCGUAAUGGCUGUAAGCGGCCCGUCUUGAAACACGGACCAAGGAGUCUAACAUCUAUGCGAGUGUUUGGGUGUCAAGCCCGAGCGCGUAAUGAAAGUGAACGGAGGUGGGAACCCCUCGGGGCGCACCAUCGACCGAUCCUGAUGUCUUCGGAUGGAUUUGAGUAAGAGCAUAGCUGUUGGGACCCGAAAGAUGGUGAACUAUGCUUGAAUAGGGUGAAGCCAGAGGAAACUCUGGUGGAGGCUCGCAGCGGUUCUGACGUGCAAAUCGAUCGUCAAAUUUGGGCAUAGGGGCGAAAGACUAAUCGAACUU